GCCAACGUAGCUCAAUGGUAGAGCUCCGGUUUUGUAAACCGGUGGUUGUCGGUUCGAAUCCGACCGUUGGCU
RNAcentral lists this transfer RNA (72 nucleotides) under Planctomycetes bacterium RBG_13_46_10. Its description in RNAcentral is "tRNA-Thr". It matches the Rfam family "tRNA". From Rfam's summary of the family: Transfer RNA (tRNA) molecules are approximately 80 nucleotides in length. Their secondary structure includes four short double-helical elements and three loops (D, anti-codon, and T loops). The record is from RNAcentral. Lineage: Bacteria; Pseudomonadati; Planctomycetota.